UGUGGGAGCGAGCUUGCUCGCGAUAGCGGUGGAUCAGCCACCUUCAAUGUUGGAUGUGCUGAUGCUAUCGCGAGCAAGCUCGCUCCCACA
This 90-nucleotide unclassified non-coding RNA is filed under the name Pseudomonas prosekii. Lineage: Bacteria; Pseudomonadati; Pseudomonadota; Gammaproteobacteria; Pseudomonadales; Pseudomonadaceae. The record is from RNAcentral.